Long non-coding RNA from Magnolia sinica, 1259 nucleotides. RefSeq lists it as uncharacterized. The record is from RefSeq and is a predicted model, not a curated record. NCBI's taxonomy places the organism in Eukaryota, Viridiplantae, Streptophyta, Magnoliopsida, Magnoliales, Magnoliaceae. The transcript has 4 exons.
AAGGUUUCAACCUUUUGUAUACUUUUGAUUCACUAAUAUACAUGCUUGUUAUACUUACAUCAAGUUGAUAGUAACGACAUAAGGGCCUGUUUACAACACCCCUGAACUUUAGGUUGACCAACAUGUUCACUAGUUUGAAUGAGUCCCAUUGUUGUGGCAUUUCAUUUUGAUGAUUACAUGUUCGAGGAGAGUGUUUUUCUACUCAUUAGAGCCACUUGGUUUGUGCCUCUACCAUUGGAGGCUCAGGAAGAAGCCUCCUAUGAACAAGAAGCUAUCUAUCAGUAUGAGGAUGAAGAGGAUGACAAUCUGGAUGAUGAAGCUUACUUCGGUAGCUCCUCAAGCCUUCGUAUUGGUAACCAUAGGUGGUUUAUACCUCUUUGGUAUAUUUGUUUAUUCCUGGUUAAUAUAUUCUGCUAGCAUCUAGAAACUGACUAUUGGAUUGAAGAACAUUUUCCCCCACUGAAGAUCUCUACCAUUUUUGACAGAUAUCACAAUGAUAUUAAUGUUCCUGUCUUAUUGCAAAGUAUCAAUGAAGAUAAAGAUAGGGAAUUGGUAGAUGCACAAGCAGAAAUCAAGGCAUUGAAGUACUCGGAACUCCUUAUAGAAAAAGUAGUUGAAGAGGUGCUGCCAAAGAGGAAGAAGAGGAGGAAAAAGAAUAAGGUAUGUUUUUUUCUUUUUUCAUUUUCAAUCAUCUGUCACAUUCUCUUCACACAACAUUUUUUAGCUUGAAUGCCUUCACAUAAUUUUAUAUGUCAUAUAAUAAUACAAGUAAAAAGAAGACAUGAUGGGUGUAUUUUUAUGAGGGUGGCAAUAGUCAGGGUACAUUCUUAGGUUAAUCUGAACCAUUUAUGUUCUUACCACUACCAUAUAGAUGUUAAUUUCUUUCAAUCAUACACCAAUAAUGACCCUAACCUAUGUCACAGUGUAUAAUCAAGUCCUCUAUCACCUCGUAUGAUUUUAUCCAAUACUUGUGCAGGUUUUACUAGAUUUUAUAUGACAAAUAAAUGAUGAUCAGGGGUAUGUUUUAUUUUCUUGGAAGUAGCUAUUCCAAUUCUCAUUUGUGUAUUGGGUUGCUUUACCUUUAAAUUUUUAUCAAAGAAAUAGAAUGCAGUUAACAUGUGUUAAUUUCAUACUGCACAUUUCUUAUACUUUAGGCCCAUGGAGGAGCAACGGCAGCGCUAUGGGCCAUCUCUGUACAACCUUACCAUUAUGGUGCUUUCAAUUCGGUUGUUUCUUCUUCUUUCCUGAGGCAUUUCGAG